RNAcentral lists this ribosomal RNA (826 nucleotides) under uncultured marine bacterium. RNAcentral's name for it is "bacterial SSU rRNA". It matches the Rfam family "Bacterial small subunit ribosomal RNA", at positions 57 to 931 of the family's 1533-position model. The record is from RNAcentral.
GCAAGUCGAACGCAGUAGCAAUACUGAGUGGCAAACGGGUGAGUAUAAUGUGGGAAUCUGCCUUUUGGUUUGGAAUAACACGGGGAAACUUGUGCUAAUACCGAAUAAGCCUUUACAGGGAAAGUUUUAAUGCCGAAAGAUGAGCCCGCACUUGAUUAGCUAGUUGGUAAGGUAAAAGCUUACCAAGGCAAUGAUCAAUAGCUGUUCUUAGAGGAAGACCAGCCACAUUGGGACUGAGACACGGCCCAGACUCCUACGGGAGGCAGCAGUGGGGAAUCUUGCACAAUGGGGGAAACCCUGAUGCAGCGAUGCCGCGUGAGUGAAGAAGGCCUUUGGGUUGUAAAACUCUUUCGUCGGGGAAGAAAAUGACUGUACCCGAAUAAGAAGGUCCGGCUAACUUCGUGCCAGCAGCCGCGGUAAUACGAAGGGACCUAGCGUAGUUCGGAAUUACUGGGCUUAAAGAGCUCGUAGGUGGUUAAAAAAGUUGAUGGUGAAAUCCCAAGGCUCAACCUUGGAACUGCCAUCAAAACUUUUUAGCUAGAGUGUGAUAGAGGUAAGUGGAAUUUCUAGUGUAGAGGUGAAAUUCGUAGAUAUUAGAAAGAACACCAAAUGCGAAGGCAACUUACUGGGUCACUACUGACACUGAGGAGCGAAAGCAUGGGUAGCGAAGAGGAUUAGAUACCCUCGUAGUCCAUGCCGUAAACGAUGUGUGCUAGACGUUGGAAAUAUAUUUUUCAGUGUCGCAGCGAAAGCAUUAAGCACACCGCCUGGGGAGUACGACCGCAAGGUUAAAACUCAAAUGAAUUGACGGGGACCCGCACAAGCA